This 772-nucleotide ribosomal RNA is filed under the name Candidatus Nitrosopumilus sp. RNAcentral describes it as "Nitrosopumilus sp. partial 23S ribosomal RNA". It matches the Rfam family "Archaeal large subunit ribosomal RNA", at positions 2225 to 2987 of the family's 2987-position model. Lineage: Archaea; Thermoproteati; Nitrososphaerota; Nitrososphaeria; Nitrosopumilales; Nitrosopumilaceae. The record is from RNAcentral.
UGGGAGAUAUGCUUUACAUUCCCCGGGAUGUAAAUGAAUCAACGAUGUAACACCAGACUCUUUUUGCAGUGCCACUUAUCCAGUGAAGACCGGAGACACGUGCAGGUGGGCAGUUCGGCUGGGGCGGCACCCCUUUGAAAAGAUAUCAAAGGGGCCCAAAGUUGAGUUCAAACGGGGCAGAAAUCCGUUGAAGAGGGCAAAGCCAAAAACUCGACUGAAUGGGUUUCCAAACGCACGGAAUCCAUAGACGAAAGUCUGGCUUAGCGAUCCUUCGUGUGCCCACUAUUGGGGCCCGGAGGUGACAGAAAAAUUACCCCAGGGAUAACAGGCUCGUCGCGGGCGAGAGCUCCUAUCGACCCCGCGGUUUGGUACCUCGAUGUCGGCUUUUCCUAUCCUGGUCCUGCAGCAGGGGCCAAGGGUGAGGCUGCUCGCCUAUUAAAAGGGAACAUGAGCUGGGUUUAGACCGUCGUGAGACAGGUCGGUCUCUGCCUGAUGGAAGCGCAAAUAACUGAGGGGAAGUUCCUCCUAGUACGAGAGGAACAGAGGAGCGUGGCCACUGGUCUACCGGUUGUCUGAUAAGGCAGGCCGGGCAGCUAAGCCAUUUAGGCUAAGUGCUGAAAGCAUCUAAGCACGAAUCCUAUCCCGAGACAAGUUAUUCUUUCGUAAGAUGAAGGUCGGCAGCAGAAGACUGCGUUGAUAGGAAGGUGGUGUAGAUCACAAGCUUCGGCGAGUGGUGAGCCAGCCUUUACUAACAGACCAACACAUCGGUUCA